This 464-nucleotide ribosomal RNA is filed under the name uncultured bacterium. Its description in RNAcentral is "partial 16S ribosomal RNA". It matches the Rfam family "Bacterial small subunit ribosomal RNA", at positions 339 to 795 of the family's 1533-position model. The record is from RNAcentral.
CUACGGGACGCUGCAGUGGGGAAUAUUGCACAAUGGGCGCAAGCCUGAUGCGGCCAUGCCGCGUGUAUGAAGAAGGCCUUCGGGUUGUAAAGUACUUUCAGCGGGGAGGAAGGGAGUAAAGUUAAUACCUUUGCUCAUUGACGUUACCCGCAGAAGAAGCACCGGCUAACUCCGUGCCAGCAGCCGCGGUAAUACGGAGGGUGCAAGCGUUAAUCGGAAUUACUGGGCGUAAAGCGCACGCAGGCGGUUUGUUAAGUCAGAUGUGAAAUCCCCGGGCUCAACCUGGGAACUGCAUCUGAUACUGGCAAGCUUGAGUCUCGUAGAGGGGGGUAGAAUUCCAGGUGUAGCGGUGAAAUGCGCAGAGAUCUGGAGGAAUACCGGUGGCGAAGGCGGCCUCCUGGACGAAGACUGACGCUCAGGUGCGAAAGCGUGGGGAGCAAACAGGAUUAGAUACCCCUGUAGUC